Molecule: ribosomal RNA, 492 nt
Filed under: uncultured bacterium
Lineage: Bacteria
Description: partial 16S ribosomal RNA
Rfam family: Bacterial small subunit ribosomal RNA
Source: RNAcentral
AGUGAACGCUGGCGGUGGGCCUAACACAUGCAAGUCGAACGGCAGCACAGUAAGAGCUUGCUCUUACGGGUGGCGAGUGGCGGACGGGUGAGGAAUACAUCGGGCUCUACUUUUUCGUGGGGGUUCACGUAGGGGAACUUACGCUAAUACCGCAUACGCCCUACGGGUGAAAGCAGUGGAUCUUCUCACCUUGCGGGAUUGAAUGAGCCGCUGUGGGAUUAGCUAGUUGGGGGGGUAAAGGCCCACCCAGGCGACGAUCCGUAGCUGGUCUGAGAGGAGGGUAGGCCACACUGGAGCUGGGACACGGACAAUGGGCCUACGGGAGGCAGCAGUGGGGAAUAGUGGACAAUGGGCGCAAGCCUGACCCAGUCAGACCGCGUGGGAGAAGAAGGCCCUGGGGUUGUAAAGCCCUUUUGUUGGGAAAGAAAAGCAGCAGGUUAAGACCCCGCUGGACUGACGGUACCCAAAGAAGAAGCACCGGCUAACUACGUG